GAUGAACGCUGACAGAAUGCUUAACACAUGCAAGUCAACUUGAAUUUGGGUUUUUAACUUAGAUUUGGGUGGCGGACGGGUGAGUAACGCGUAAAGAACUUGCCUCACAGCUAGGGACAACAUUUAGAAAUGAAUGCUAAUACCUGAUAUUAUGAUUUUAAGGCAUCUUAGAAUUAUGAAAGCUAUAAGCACUGUGAGAGAGCUUUGCGUCCCAUUAGCUAGUUGGAGAGGUAACAGCUCACCAAGGCGAUGAUGGGUAGCCGGCCUGAGAGGGUGAACGGCCACAAGGGGACUGAGACACGGCCCUUACUCCUACGGGAGGCAGCAGUGGGGAAUAUUGGACAAUGGACCGAGAGUCUGAUCCAGCAAUUCUGUGUGCACGAUGAAGUUUUUCGGAAUGUAAAGUGCUUUCAGUUGGGAAGAAAAAAAUGACGGUACCAACAGAAGAAGUGACGGCUAAAUACGUGCCAGCAGCCGCGGUAAUACGUAUGUCACGAGCGUUAUCCGGAUUUAUUGGGCGUAAAGCGCGUCUAGGUGGUUAUAUAAGUCUGAUGUGAAAAUGCAGGGCUCAACUCUGUAUUGCGUUGGAAACUGUAUAACUAGAGUACUGGAGAGGUAAGCGGAACUACAAGUGUAGAGGUGAAAUUCGUAGAUAUUUGCAGGAAUGCCGAUGGGGAAGCCAGCUUACUGGACAGAUACUGACGCUAAAGCGCGAAAGCGUGGGUAGCAAACAGG
Molecule: ribosomal RNA, 735 nt
Filed under: uncultured Fusobacterium sp.
Lineage: Bacteria; Fusobacteriati; Fusobacteriota; Fusobacteriia; Fusobacteriales; Fusobacteriaceae
Description: bacterial SSU rRNA
Rfam family: Bacterial small subunit ribosomal RNA
Source: RNAcentral